UACAGAGGUCCCAAGCGUUGUUCGGAUUCACUGGGCGUAAAGGGUGCGUAGGCGGUCGGGUAAGUCUGGCGUGAAAUCUCCAAGCCUAACUUGGAAACUGCGUUGGAUACUAUCCGGCUCGAGGAAUGGAGGGGAGACUGGAAUACUUGGUGUAGCAGUGAAAUGCGUAGAUAUCAAGUGGAACACCAGUGGCGAAGGCGAGUCUCUGGACAUUUUCUGACGCUGAGGCACGAAAGCCAGGGGAGCAAACGGG
Molecule: ribosomal RNA, 253 nt
Filed under: uncultured bacterium
Lineage: Bacteria
Description: partial 16S ribosomal RNA
Rfam family: Bacterial small subunit ribosomal RNA
Source: RNAcentral